RNAcentral lists this ribosomal RNA (202 nucleotides) under uncultured bacterium. RNAcentral describes it as "partial 16S ribosomal RNA". It matches the Rfam family "Bacterial small subunit ribosomal RNA", at positions 524 to 724 of the family's 1533-position model. The record is from RNAcentral.
UACGUAGGGGGCAAGCGUUGUCCGGAUUUAUUGGGCGUAAAGAGCGUGUAGGCGGCCAGGUAGGUCUGCUGUGAAAACUCGAGGCUUAACCUCGAGAUGUCGGCGGAAACCAUCUGGCUAGAGUCCGGAAGAGGAGAAUGGAAUUCCCGGUGUAGCGGUGAAAUGCGCAGAUAUCGGAGGAAGACACCAAUGGCGAAGGCAG